UCCCCGCCGCGACACUCGCCGCAGCGCACGAGGCGUCGAGCUAGCGCUUCCAGCCCUUGACAGCAAUCGAGUUCGCGUGCGCGCUCAUCCCGGCUCGCGCUCUCACAUCUCAUCCCCAGAAAGUUCCAGGCACGAUCUACAGCAGGAUGUUGACGCAGCAACACGUUUCCGGGCUCUCCACCGCCCUUCCGCCCAGGCUGACCUCCCGCGCGUCCCUUCGCGGUGCGCGCGCCGUCGCCCCGUCGAAGACUUUCGCGUCACGCCGAGGCCGUGCCAACGCCGUCGUCGUCAAAGGUGAGCCUUCCCGUGAAGCCCCGCCUCUGGCUGCGCCCGGUUUCCCCGGUCCGUUCGGUGAAUGUUCCUCCCGCCAAUCGUGCAGAAGAACCGCUGGCCGAAAACUAACAUCUCCCGUCUCUUGCGCAGCCGAGGACACCAACUGGGGGCGGGAGCUUUCUUCCGCUGUCGUCCGCGUCGGUGCCGGCGUGCUGAUGGUCCACAACGGCCUCGAUAAGCUGGUCGACCCCGAGGGAUUCGCCAAGUUCGUCGUCGAGCCGUACCUCGGCUUUCUGCCACACGACG
This 579-nucleotide long non-coding RNA is filed under the name Micromonas commoda. RNAcentral's name for it is "long non-coding RNA (MCOM_LNC000264)". The record is from RNAcentral. Lineage: Eukaryota; Viridiplantae; Chlorophyta; Mamiellophyceae; Mamiellales; Mamiellaceae.